Molecule: small nuclear RNA, 107 nt
Organism: Bison bison bison
Lineage: Eukaryota; Metazoa; Chordata; Mammalia; Artiodactyla; Bovidae
Source: Ensembl
AAACUGCCCUCUCAGUUACUAAUGGCCAGUUGCAAUGAUACAGAGAAAAUGAGUGUGGUUCCUUGUACAAGAAUGACAUGCAACUUCCUGAGUCUUCUGUAUUUUUC